Molecule: ribosomal RNA, 497 nt
Filed under: uncultured bacterium
Lineage: Bacteria
Description: partial 16S ribosomal RNA
Rfam family: Bacterial small subunit ribosomal RNA
Source: RNAcentral
GAUGAACGCUGGCGGCGUGCCUAAUACAUGCCAGUCGAGCGAACGGACGAGAAGCUUGCUUCUCUGACGUUAGCGGCGGACGGGUGAGUAACACGUGGAUAACCUACCUAUAAGACUGGGAUAACUUCGGGAAACCGGAGCUAAUACCGGAUAAUAUAUUGAACCGCAUGGUUCAAUAGUGAAAGACGGUUUUGCUGUCACUUAUAGAUGGAUCCGCGCUGCAUUAGCUAGUUGGUAAGGUAACGGCUUACCAAGGCAACGAUGCAUAGCCGACCUGAGAGGGUGAUCGGCCACACUGGAACUGAGACACGGUCCAGACUCCUACGGGAGGCAGCAGUAGGGAAUCUUCCGCAAUGGGCGAAAGCCUGACGGAGCAACGCCGCGUGAGUGAUGAAGGUCUUCGGAUCGUAAAACUCUGUUAUUAGGGAAGAACAUAUGUGUAAGUAACUAUGCACGUCUUGACGGUACCUAAUCAGAAAGCCACGGCUAACUACGUG